Molecule: ribosomal RNA, 253 nt
Filed under: uncultured bacterium
Lineage: Bacteria
Description: partial 16S ribosomal RNA
Rfam family: Bacterial small subunit ribosomal RNA
Source: RNAcentral
UACGUAGGGUGCGAGCGUUGUCCGGAAUUACUGGGCGUAAAGAGCUCGUAGGUGGUUUGUCGCGUUGUUCGUGAAAACCGGGGGCUUAACCCUCGGCGUGCGGGCGAUACGGGCAGACUUGAGUACUGCAGGGGAGACUGGAAUUCCUGGUGUAGAGGUGAAAUUCGUAGAUAUCGGGAGGAACACCAGUGGCGAAGACGGCGACCUGGACAGAUAUUGACGCUGAGGUGCGAAAGCGUGGGGAGCAAACAGG